Molecule: long non-coding RNA, 1222 nt
Filed under: Sus scrofa (pig)
Lineage: Eukaryota; Metazoa; Chordata; Mammalia; Artiodactyla; Suidae
Description: lncRNA (ENSSSCG00055006111.1)
Source: RNAcentral
UUUUUUUUUUUUUUUUUUUUUUUUGUAUUUUGUCUGUUUUCUAGUGCUUCUCCAGUGAGUUUUCUUUCUGAAAAGGCUCUCUGCUUGACAGGUGUGGAUGAAAUGACCUUUUGCUGUGCAGGAAUAGUGGAAGGCAAACAUCAACCCAUCUGACUCAAGAAAAUAAAUAAGCCCGGUCUCUAUCAACAAGGAGAUAAAACACAGUAACUCACCUGCCUUUUGUUGCUUCUCAAUACAUAAAACUCAUCCUUAAAUUAUUGUGUUGAAAACACUUAAUAUAAAGCAGUUUUCUCCUGAAUGUAGCCACUCUCUUUUGUGACACUGGCUGUUAUUUGGAAGGCAGCCAUGCUUACCACUAUACUACCAAUGCUGCACUAGGACCAUGGCUAUCAUUUGAAAUACUGAAUACUGCUUGCCUUAUCCCCCCAUAUUAGUCUAAGGUUAAGCUCGUACCUUAACGUUAGCAGCUGAAUUAUGUUUUCAUUUACAAACAUCUGAGUUUACUAAAGAAAGAGAAAAGCAGCUUUUACCACCAUGGUCCUUACUGCUUUUAUUUGUUUGUUUGUUUAUUUAUUUAUUUAUUUAUUUAUUUCUUGUCUUUUUGCUAUUUCUUGGGCCGCUCACGCAGCAUAUGGAGGUUCCCAGGUUAGGAGUCCAAUCGGAGUUGUAGCUGCUGGCCUACACCACAGCCACAGCAACUCCAGAUCCGAGCCGCAUCUUCUACUUACACCACAGCUCAAGGCAACGCAGGAUCCUUAACUCACUGAGUGAGGUCAGGGAUGGAACCCACAUCCUCAAGGAUGCUAGUCGGGUUUGCUAACCCCAGAGCCAUGACGGGAACUCCAGGAAAACUUAAUUUUAAAUGUGUAAGAUCUAUAUGAUGAAAACUUUGAAACAUUCAGAAGGCAUAUAAAAGACAACCCAAAUAAAAAGACAUAGUUUUUACCUGGAUGGAAAUUCUCAGUAUGCUAAAGAUAUAAACUGUUACUAUAUUCACCUAAACAUUUAAGGUAAUAUCAAUAAAUAAUCAACAGGAUUUUCAGGAAAAUAAUAUAGAUUGAUCUGGAAAUUCAGAUGAAAAUAAAAGUAAAUGAAAAAAUCUAAUGAACUAGAACAAUCUCUAUAAAAUAAUAAUAGAUAUCUACUAAAAGCUAUGAUAAAUAAAGCACUUUAUUACCAGUCUAAACUAUAUAGAAAGGUCAAUGAUAGCAGAAGGAAGAAU